This 443-nucleotide long non-coding RNA is filed under the name Homo sapiens (human). RNAcentral describes it as "HSALNT0250338". The record is from RNAcentral. Lineage: Eukaryota; Metazoa; Chordata; Mammalia; Primates; Hominidae.
UACAAAAUGGAAGCAAGAACUAACGUCUGCCAACUCUGUGGUGUUGAGAUAGGCCACUGGGAGUUCUACUUGCAUGAUUUUACUCUGACAUGUCCUGAUUGAGGAGCCUGAAGAUAUCCACACUGAGCAUUGAUCUGUGCAUCAGUAAGUCUGGAUCUAAAGAGGAAGAUCCACACUGGAGCACAGGUCUUCUACAAUGUAGUCAUCGUGCCCUGUGUGGGGGCCACCAUGGGAUGGGCCCCAAGAACAUGGUGUGAACAACAACAGCAAAAAUGGUCUUGACCUCAGAGAGUUCAGGUCUACUCUGAUGGGAAAGAAAAUAUUACACAGUGCCCACCUUUCCGAUGGAGCUGAAGGAGACGGAGUCAGAGGGACUUAAAACAGUAACAACAACAACAAAGUGACAUGGAAUCCAUGAAAGGGAGUGUGACAGAUAAGCAACU